Molecule: long non-coding RNA, 336 nt
Organism: Anthonomus grandis grandis
Lineage: Eukaryota; Metazoa; Arthropoda; Insecta; Coleoptera; Curculionidae
Exons: 2
Source: RefSeq, a predicted model, not a curated record
GAUGUCGUCUCGUGGGUCAAGAAAAGUUUUCUGAAAUUAAUGGCUUUCUAUUUACCGUAAUUUAAAGUUUUACUUCUUGUGGAAUUAGAGCAUAAAAAGGCAUAGAAUUUGGAAUGAGGGAGACUUUAAUAUCUUUUCUUAUUCGCGCUAUUUGGACUCUGGCUUCACUGACACCUGCAUGCAACACAUGAAGUUCUACAAUUCCCAGAUUUAUCCAAUGUUCCUAAAAACCUCAAGAAACAUAUUGUAUAAGAUUCAAUAAAAUUUGAUCUGGAAAAUCAAUAUAACUGAAAAAAUCAGAUGAAUUUAUUAUAAUAAUCUAAUGCUUGAUACUGA